This 425-nucleotide ribosomal RNA is filed under the name uncultured bacterium. RNAcentral's name for it is "partial 16S ribosomal RNA". It matches the Rfam family "Bacterial small subunit ribosomal RNA", at positions 354 to 796 of the family's 1533-position model. The record is from RNAcentral.
GUGAGGAAUUUUCCGCAAUGGGCGAAAGCCUGACGGAGCAAUGCCGCGUGAAGGAUGAAGGUCUUAGGAUUGUAAAAUUCUUUCACCGGGGACGAUAAUGACGGUACCCGGAGAAGAAGCCCCGGCUAACUUCGUGCCAGCAGCCGCGGUAAUACGAAGGGGGCUAGCGUUGCUCGGAAUUACUGGGCGUAAAGGGCGCGUAGGCGGAUCGUUAAGUCAGGGGUGAAAUCCCAGAGCUCAACUCUGGAACUGCCCUUGAUACUGGCGAUCUUGAGUGUGAGAGAGGUAUGUGGAACUCCGAGUGUAGAGGUGAAAUUCGUAGAUAUUCGGAAGAACACCAGUGGCGAAGGCGACAUACUGGCUCAUUACUGACGCUGAGGCGCGAAAGCGUGGGGAGCAAACAGGAUUAGAAACCCCUGUAGUCC